This 442-nucleotide ribosomal RNA is filed under the name uncultured bacterium. RNAcentral describes it as "partial 16S ribosomal RNA". It matches the Rfam family "Bacterial small subunit ribosomal RNA", at positions 338 to 795 of the family's 1533-position model. The record is from RNAcentral.
CCUACGGGCGGCAGCAGUGGGGAAUAUUGGGCAAUGGGCGCAAGCCUGACCGAGCAACGCCGCGUGAAGGAAGAAGGCUUUCGGGUUGUAAACUUCUUUUGUCAGGGACGAAGGAAGUGACGGUACCUGACGAAUAAGCCACGGCUAACUAAGUGCCAGCAGCCGGGGUAAUACGUAGGUGGCAAGCGUUAUCCGGAUUUACUGGGGGAAAAGGGCGUGUAGGCGGGACUGCAAGUCAGAUGUGAAAACCACGGGCUCAACCUGUGGCCUGCUUUUGAAACUGUAGUUCUUGAGUACUGGAGGGGCAGACGGAAUUCCUGGUGUAGCGGUGAAAUGCGUAGAUAUUAGGAGGAACACCAGUGGCGAAGGCGGUCUGCUGGACAGCAACUGACGCUGAGGCGCGAAAGCGUGGGGAGCAAACAGGAUUAGAUACCCCAGAGUC